Molecule: ribosomal RNA, 301 nt
Filed under: uncultured bacterium
Lineage: Bacteria
Description: partial 16S ribosomal RNA
Rfam family: Bacterial small subunit ribosomal RNA
Source: RNAcentral
CAGUCGCCGCGGGAAUACGAAGGGUGCAAGCGUUACUCGGAGUUACUGGGCGUAAAGCGUGCGUAGGUGGUGGUUUAAGUCCGUUGUGAAAGCCCUGGGCUCAACCUGGGAAUUGCAGUGGAUACUGGGUCACUAGAGUGUGGUAGAGGAUAGUGGAAUUUCCGGUGUAGCAGUGAAAUGCGUAGAGAUCGGAAGGAACAUCUGUGGCGAAGGCGACUAUCUGGGCCAACACUGACACUGAGGCACGAAAGCGUGGGGAGCAAACAGGAUUAGAUACCCCUGUAGUCCCUGUCUCUUAACA